Molecule: ribosomal RNA, 1240 nt
Filed under: metagenome
Description: bacterial LSU rRNA
Rfam family: Bacterial large subunit ribosomal RNA
Source: RNAcentral
UGAAUACGAGACGCUACGGCGUCGAAGCAGUCUAUGUCAUACUUCCAAGAAAAGCUUGCACUGUCAUAAACAAAUAAUGCCUGUACCAUAACCGACACAGGUGGGUAGGUAGAGUAUACUAAGGGGCGCGAGAUAACUCUCUCUAAGGGACUCGGCAAAAUGACUCCGUAACUUCGGGAGAAGGAGUGCCUUAUUUAUAAGGUUGCAAUAACAAGAUCCAAGCAACUGUUUAUCAAAAACACAGGUCUCCGCUAAGUCGUAAGACGAUGUAUGGGGGCUGACGCCUGCCCAGUGCCAGAAGGUUAAAGAAGUUGGUUAGCAUUAGCGAAGCUGAUAACUGAAGCCCUGGUGAACGGCGGCCGUAACAAUAACGGUCCUAAGGUAGCGAAAUUCCUUGUCGGGUAAGUUCCGACCCGCACGAAAGGCGUAAUGAUUUGGAUACUGUCUCGGAGAGGGGCUCGGUGAAAUAGACUUGUCUGUGAAGAUGCGGACUACCUGCACCUGGACAGAAAGACCCUAUGAAGCUUUACUGUAACCUGAAAUUGAAAUUGGACUUUAUUUGCGCAGUAUAGGUGGGAGGCGUUGAGAAUAUUCUUGCGGGAAUAUUGGAGCCAUCAGUGAGAUACCACUCUUGUAAUGUUAGAUUUCUAACUUUGAAUCAUUAUCUGGUCAAAGAACAGUUUCAGGCGGGCAGUUUGACUGGGGCGGUCGCCUCCUAAAUGGUAACGGAGGCGCACAAAGGUUUCCUCUGAACGGGUAGAAAUCGUAUCUAGAGUGUAAAGGCAUAAGGAAGCUUGACUGUGAGACCUACAAGUCGAGCAGGGACGAAAGUCGGUCUUAGUGAUCUGACGGUGCUGAGUGGAAAGGCCGUCACUCAACGGAUAAAAGUUACUCUAGGAUAACAGGCUGAUCUCCCCCAAGAGUUCACAUCGACGGGGAGGUUUGGCACCUCGAUGUCGGCUCAUCGCAUCCUGGGGCGGUAGUACGUCCCAAGGGUUGGGCUGUUCGCCCAUGAAAGCGGUACGCGAGCUGGGUUCAGAACGUCGUGAGACAGUUCGGUCCAUAUCCGGUGUAGGCGUUAGAAUAUUGAGAGGAGCCUUCUUUAGUACGAGAGGACCGAGAAGGACAUACCUCUGGUGUACCAGUUAUCGUGCCAACGGUAAACGCUGGGUAGCUAUGUAUGGAGAGGAUAACCGCUGAAAGCAUCUAAGUGGGAAGCCCACCUCAAGAUAAGUAUUCU